UGCAGGAUGGCUGAGUGGUCUAAGGCGCUGCGUUCAGGUCGCAGUAUCCUCGGAUGCGUGGGUUCGAAUCUCACUCCUGUCAA
Molecule: non-coding RNA, 83 nt
Organism: Symsagittifera roscoffensis
Lineage: Eukaryota; Metazoa; Xenacoelomorpha; Acoela; Convolutidae
Source: the annotation of a RefSeq genome assembly